UACGUAGGCAGCGAGCGUUGUUCGGAAUUACUGGGCGUAAAGAGUGUGUAGGUGGUGAUCUAAGUCUGUCGUGAAAUCUCCCGGCUUAACUGGGAGGGUGCGGCGGAAACUGGAUCGCUAGAGUAUGGGAGAGGUAAGCGGAAUUCCUGGUGUAGCGGUGAAAUGCGUAGAUAUCAGGAGGAACACCGGUGGCGAAGGCGGUCUUCUGGGACGGUAAC
Molecule: ribosomal RNA, 218 nt
Filed under: uncultured bacterium
Lineage: Bacteria
Description: partial 16S ribosomal RNA
Rfam family: Bacterial small subunit ribosomal RNA
Source: RNAcentral